GACGAACGCUGGCGGCGCGCUUAACACAUGCAAGUCGAGCGGUAAGGCCCUUUCGGGGGUACGACGAGCGGCGAACGGGUGAGUAACACGUGGGUGACCUGCCCUUAGCUCUGGGAUAAGCCUGGGAAACUGGGUCUAAUACCGGAUAUGACUCCAUGACGCAUGUUGUGGGGUGGAAAGCCUUGUGCGGCUAGGGAUGGGCCCGCGGCCUAUCAGCUUGUUGGUGGGGUGAUGGCCUACCAAGGCGACGACGGGUAGCCGGCCUGAGAGGGCGACCGGCCACACUGGGACUGAGACACGGCCCAGACUCCUACGGGAGGCAGCAGUGGGGAAUCUUGCGCAAUGGGCGAAAGCCUGACGCAGCGACGCCGCGUGAGGGAUGAC
This 384-nucleotide ribosomal RNA is filed under the name uncultured bacterium. RNAcentral's name for it is "bacterial SSU rRNA". It matches the Rfam family "Bacterial small subunit ribosomal RNA", at positions 28 to 412 of the family's 1533-position model. The record is from RNAcentral.